CCCGUCACACCAUGGGAGUGGAUUGCACCAGAAGUGGAUGAGCCAACCCGCAAGGGAGGCAGUCCCCUAAGGUGUGCUUCAUGACUGGGGUG
RNAcentral lists this ribosomal RNA (92 nucleotides) under uncultured bacterium. RNAcentral's name for it is "partial 16S ribosomal RNA". It matches the Rfam family "Bacterial small subunit ribosomal RNA", at positions 1393 to 1482 of the family's 1533-position model. The record is from RNAcentral.